UGCAGUGAGCUCUAAACAAGUCUGAUCUUAUCUGGGAAGGCUCAGGCCCAUCUGAGAACAUACACGUGGCUUAUUGAGACCUUGGCGCUGAUCAAUAGAAAUAGUGUUCUCAACGGCUGCUGGAAGGGUCCCAGCCCUGGAGGAGACUAUCUGGUAUGCACACAGUGUGAGAAUCCGGAGGAAGGCGGAGGGCUGGGGAGCAAAGAUACUCAGGGAGCCUCCAGGCCUACUGGGGACACACCUCAGCCCACCCAGCCU
RNAcentral lists this long non-coding RNA (258 nucleotides) under Macaca mulatta (Rhesus monkey). Its description in RNAcentral is "lncRNA (ENSMMUG00000057310.1)". The record is from RNAcentral. Lineage: Eukaryota; Metazoa; Chordata; Mammalia; Primates; Cercopithecidae.